AUGCAAAUUACUAAUGAAUAUUCAUGAGAUGAAUAAUUCAACAGAUUAAUAUCUUGAUCUCAAGAACUCUUGUCAUUAUAAUGAAAUGCGAUUCCUUCAACCAACAUUCGUAAUAAAUUUCAAGACUUAACAUCGCUCAUAUUCAUAAGUUUGUUGCCUAUAAUUCAGAUCAUUACUACCAGUAAUUAAACAUGUGUCCCUUUUCAAAAGUCUUCCAACUGUUUCUCUGAUUUCGCUAGUUAAUCUAUUAUAUUUUUGUUACGUUUAUAUGCUAUAAUAGACACUUGAGUAAAAAUUUCACUGCAUUCUUUUGCAGAUUGUUCCAAUGUUUUACUUAUAAUUUUAAUAAAGUUUUUCACCAUUUGGUUAUAUUUUGUAAUAAGAGU
Molecule: long non-coding RNA, 386 nt
Filed under: Mytilus galloprovincialis (Mediterranean mussel)
Lineage: Eukaryota; Metazoa; Mollusca; Bivalvia; Mytilida; Mytilidae
Source: RNAcentral